This 376-nucleotide transfer-messenger RNA is filed under the name Porticoccaceae. RNAcentral describes it as "Porticoccus sp002390525 Standard tmRNA". It matches the Rfam family "transfer-messenger RNA". Rfam says of the family: Bacterial tmRNA, also known as 10Sa RNA or SsrA, is named for its dual tRNA and mRNA-like properties. Its role is to liberate the mRNA from a stalled ribosome. The record is from RNAcentral. Lineage: Bacteria; Pseudomonadati; Pseudomonadota; Gammaproteobacteria; Cellvibrionales. RNAcentral also lists the same sequence under 2 other names.
GGGGGCGUUCUGGAUUCGACGCCGGUUACAAAACCUGUGGUGCAUGCCGAGAUGGUGACCAAUCUCGUUAAUCCAAAGUCGCAAAUUAUUAGUUGCCAACGACGACAACUACGCACUCGCCGCCUAAGAAACGGUAGGGAGCCAUCUGACUGGAGCCGUGCUUAUGCGUCCAGAGUCUCUAGGGACUAUCAGGUGUCAUACUCAUAAGAUCGUGAUGAAACUUGUCUGGGGUAGACUCACUAAAAACUUACCGGAAUCGUAAUUUACGUACCCUGCCAGUCGGGUUGUCAAUUAUUAAAUUAAUGACUGAACUAAGCAUGUAGAGCCUUCGGUAGAGGACUGACGGACGCGGGUUCAAUUCCCGCCGCCUCCACCA